This 2298-nucleotide long non-coding RNA is filed under the name Paramuricea clavata. The record is from RNAcentral. Lineage: Eukaryota; Metazoa; Cnidaria; Anthozoa; Malacalcyonacea; Plexauridae.
GUUAUUUGUUAUGUUUCUUUGUCUUGAAAUGCCAAACGACUUUACUUGUUAAGGGGAGAGUGUUGGUAUGACUUUACAGUAUAUUCGUAUUCAACAUACUUAUUUAAUAUAUGCACCAUUUGUACCCUUUUAUAGUUAACCCUCAGAUGUAUAAUGGCUUCCCUUCUACAUGCACUGGGAAACCGGCAGACCCACCAAAUCAAGACAGGCAAGAAAGGAGACCGGCAGACCCACCAAAACAAGACAGGCAAGCAUGUAAGUUUACUGAUAUUUUUCUUAAGUUAACACAUUGCGCCCUGAUGCGCCCUGCUUUAUUAUUUUCCCCGAGCCGACGGCGCGAAGCGCCGUGCGAGGGUACUAAUUCCCCCCGGCUAUUUACACCCGGGGAAGGGAAGCAUUAGCGAAGUCUAAAGUUCAUCAAAUAUCGCGGGCGUGGGUCACUGUGCGUGUUUCGGUGGGUGGUCAUCCUCACUGAUCUCAUAAUAUAGCGGACUGUAAUGAAUAGCCAACGCUGAUUGGUCCAAUUUAAAAUUGGCAUUAUAACGGCUGCAUGACGAUUGACGACAGCGAAAUUGAUUUGAUGAUUUCUUGCAAAUAUAUUUCAUUUUUGCAAGAUUUUGUAAAUUGCAAAGGAUUUUUGAUGAAAUAAAGGCAAGAGGAUUGCUAAAAGAAGGAAGUAAAGGUGCCGGCGUUAAUGAAGGUACGUUUGUUUUAAAUAUUGAUGCAUUGUUUGCUUUUAAUAUACUGUAAUCUCGAUCGGCUGUAAUUACUUUAAAAGCCGAUCGUUGCGUAUAUAAAAUAUGAAACAAGACAGCGUAUUAUUUCAGUGUUUCUUUAUUGAUUACACUUUUUCUUAUGCUAAGCAAAGUUAUUUACAUGGGAGAAUUUGGAAUCAUUUUAUUUCGAACUCAAAGUUUAUCGAUAAAGGCAGUUUAGUUCUAUAUUAAAAGAACACUUUCAAACGUUUUGCGAAGCGUUUGUGAUUGAAUGUUACCUUAAAUUCAAGCUUAUAUUACGUAUAAUAACAUACCUACUGUAAUUACUUUAAAAGCCGAUCGUUGUGUAUAAAUAUGAAUUAAACAAGACAGCGUAUUAUUUCAGUGUUUCUUUAUUGAUUACACUUUUUAUUAUACUAAGCAAAGUUAUUUGCAUGGGAGAAUUUGGAAUCAUUUUAUUUCGAACUCAAAGUUUAUCGAUAAAGGCACAUUUAAGGCAGUUUAGUUCUAUAGUAAAAGAACAUUUUAAAACGUUUUGCGAAGCGUUUGUGGUUGAAUUUUACCUUAAAUUCAAGCUUAUAUUACGUAUAAUAACAUACCUAACAUAUAUAUGUUUAGCAAAUUGAUAAUUUUGUAAUUAAAAGUGAUAUUUAUAGGGGAUUUUUCAUUUGUAAAAACAUUCUUAAAAAAUUAUCGUGUUACCAUGACAACUACUUAAAAUACUUCACGUUCGGAAAAUAAAAUGGUUUUGUCAGCAAGGCGAGGGUUUCUGCAUGCAUGUAUUUUCUAGUACUCUGUCUAAUGCCAAACGAUUUACUCAUCAAGGGGAGAGCUCUGGUGCGUAAUGGUUAACUGGCCUAUCUGCCCAUGUGUCUAGUUAAUCCAUUGAGUUGCAUUGCACCUAUGCGCCCUGCUUUAUUAUUUUACUAUGUCUACUGACAGACAAUAUACUCGUUAAGGGGAGAGCUCUGGCAUUUAAUAGGUACAGUAACUUAACUGGCCUUUCUGCCCAUAUGUCUAAUAAUCUAGUUAAUCCAUUCAGUUGAAUUGUGCCAAUGCGCCCUGCUUUAAGUAUUAUUUUACUGUGUCUAACGAUUUAGUCGUAUGACAUGUGGACAGUGACUGACUGAAACAGUACAGGUUUGACUGCAGUCACUGACAAGAAGAAAAUUCAGAUCUUACAAUGUAUAUUAAUUUUACUGUAUUAUAAACCAUAUCAUUUCUUUUAUUAGUCCAUGGUGACAGCAAAUGCUUUAACUGAGGUGGAUAGGCCCAAGAAUUUUCCGAAAUUAACUAAGAAUGCAAGAAAAAGAUCCAAUGUGAACUGGAGAAGCAGGAGAACUGUUAAGAGAACACAAACAUACAGUAUUUGUUUUUAAUAUUUUAGUAAUGAUAUUAUAUGCAUUUCUUAAUUUUAAUCUUUGGUCUUGUCCCUGCAUGGUGUUACUGGUAACCCACCCCUGAUUUUUUAUUUCUGUAUGCUUUUAGUUGAGUAAUGCAUAUACAGGGUGUAUCAAAAUAUGUCCCAAAUGGAUAAUUUCCUCGAAAUCACACAAAAUUUGGGAUGUUUUGCUAACCGAGA